GGGGAAUAUUGCACAAUGGGGGAAACCCUGAUGCAGCGACGCCGCGUGGAGGAAGAAGGUCUUCGGAUUGUAAACUCCUGUUGUUGAGGAAGAUAAUGACGGUACUCAACAAGGAAGUGACGGCUAACUACGUGCCAGCAGCCGCGGUAAAACGUAGGUCACAAGCGUUGUCCGGAAUUACUGGGUGUAAAGGGAGCGCAGGCGGGAGAACAAGUUGGAAGUGAAAUCCAUGGGCUCAACCCAUGAACUGCUUUCAAAACUGUUUUUCUUGAGUAGUGCAGAGGUAGGCGGAAUUCCCGGUGUAGCGGUGGAAUGCGUAGAUAUCGGGAGGAACACCAGUGGCGAAGGCGGCCUACUGGGCACCAACUGACGCUGAGGCUCGAAAGUGUGGGUAGCAAACAGGAUUAGAUACCCUGGUAGUCCACACCGUAAACGAUGAUUACUAGGUGUUGGAGGAUUGACCCCUUCAGUGCCGCAGUUAACACAAUAAGUAAUCCACCUGGGGAGUACGACCGCAAGGUUGAAACUCAAAGGAAUUGACGGGGGCCCGCACAAGCAGUGGAGUAUGUGGUUUAAUUCGACGCAACGCGAAGAACCUUACCAAGUCUUGACAUCCUGCGACGCACAUAGAAAUAUGUGUUUCCUUCGGGACGCAGAGACAGGUGGUGCAUGGUUGUCGUCAGCUCGUGUCGUGAGAUGUUGGGUUAAGUCCCGCAACGAGCGCAACCCUUAUGGUCAGUUACUACGCAAGAGGACUCUGGCCAGACUGCCGUUGACAAAACGGAGGAAGGUGGGGAUGACGUCAAAUCAUCAUGCCCUUUAUGACUUGGGCUACACACGUACUACAAUGGCGUUAAACAAAGAGAAGCAAGACCGCGAGGUGGAGCAAAACUCAGAAACAACGUCCCAGUUCGGACUGCAGGCUGCAACUCGCCUGCACGAAGUCGGAAUUGCUAGUAAUCGUGGAUCAGCAUGCCACGGUGAAUACGUUCCCG
RNAcentral lists this ribosomal RNA (995 nucleotides) under uncultured bacterium. RNAcentral's name for it is "bacterial SSU rRNA". It matches the Rfam family "Bacterial small subunit ribosomal RNA", at positions 356 to 1376 of the family's 1533-position model. RNAcentral also lists the same sequence under 1 other name. The record is from RNAcentral.